This 85-nucleotide transfer RNA is filed under the name Anaerolineae bacterium. RNAcentral describes it as "tRNA-Tyr". It matches the Rfam family "tRNA". From Rfam's summary of the family: Transfer RNA (tRNA) molecules are approximately 80 nucleotides in length. Their secondary structure includes four short double-helical elements and three loops (D, anti-codon, and T loops). Further hydrogen bonds mediate the characteristic L-shaped molecular structure. tRNAs have two regions of fundamental functional importance: the anti-codon, which is responsible for specific mRNA codon recognition, and the 3' end, to which the tRNAs corresponding amino acid is attached (by aminoacyl-tRNA synthetases). tRNAs cope with the degeneracy of the genetic code in two manners: having more than one tRNA (with a specific anti-codon) for a particular amino acid; and 'wobble' base-pairing, i.e. permitting non-standard base-pairing at the 3rd anti-codon position. The record is from RNAcentral. Lineage: Bacteria; Bacillati; Chloroflexota; Anaerolineae.
GGGCAGGUACCCAAGCGGCCAAAGGGGACUGACUGUAAAUCAGUUGGCUCAGCCUUCGGUGGUUCGAAUCCGCCCCUGCCCACCU